RNAcentral lists this ribosomal RNA (253 nucleotides) under uncultured bacterium. RNAcentral's name for it is "partial 16S ribosomal RNA". It matches the Rfam family "Bacterial small subunit ribosomal RNA", at positions 524 to 776 of the family's 1533-position model. The record is from RNAcentral.
UACAGAGGGUGCGAGCGUUAAUCGGAAUUACUGGGCGUAAAGCGCGCGUAGGCGGUUUUGUAAGUCGGAUGUGAAAUCCCCCGGCUUAACCUGGGAACUGCGUCUGAUACUGGAAGGCUUGAGGAUGGGAGAGGGAUGUAGAAUUCCAGGUGUAGCGGUGAAAUGCGUAGAUAUCGGGAGGAAUACCAGUGGCGAAAGCGGCACCCUGGCCUUGGCCUGACGCUCAGGUGCGAAAGCGUGGGGAGCGAACGGG